This 436-nucleotide ribosomal RNA is filed under the name uncultured bacterium. RNAcentral describes it as "bacterial SSU rRNA". It matches the Rfam family "Bacterial small subunit ribosomal RNA", at positions 335 to 762 of the family's 1533-position model. The record is from RNAcentral.
ACUCCUACGGGAGGCAGCAGUGGGGAAUAUUGCACAAUGGGGAAACCCUGAUGCAGCCAUGCCGCGUGUGUGAAGAAGGCCUUCGGUUGUAAAGCACUUUCAGUAGGGAGGAAGGUAGUGUAGUUAACAACCUGCACUAUUUGACGUUACCUACAGAAGAAGCACCGGCUAACUCCGUGCCAGCAGCCGCGGUAAUACGGAGGGGUGCGAGCGUUAAUCGGAAUUACUGGGCGUAAAGCGCAUGCAGGCGGCCUGUUAAGUCAGAUGUGAAAGCCCGGGGGCUUAACCUCGGAAUUGCAUUUGAAACUGGCAGGCUAGAGUCUUGUAGAGGGGGUAGGAAUUUCAGGUGUAGCGGUGAAAUGCGUAGAGAUCUGAAGGAAUACCAGUGGCGAAGGCGGCCCCCUGGACAAAGACUGACGCUCAGAUGCGAAAGCGU